Molecule: ribosomal RNA, 253 nt
Filed under: uncultured bacterium
Lineage: Bacteria
Description: partial 16S ribosomal RNA
Rfam family: Bacterial small subunit ribosomal RNA
Source: RNAcentral
UACGGAGGGUGCAAGCGUUAUCCGGAUUCACUGGGUUUAAAGGGUGCGUAGGUGGGCAGGUAAGUCAGUGGUGAAAUCUCCGGGCUUAACUCGGAAACUGCCAUUGAUACUAUCUUUCUUGAAUACCGUGGAGGUCAGCGGAAUAUGUCAUGUAGCGGUGAAAUGCUUAGAUAUGACACAGAACACCGAUUGCGAAGGCAGCUCACUAAGUCAUAACUGACGCUGAUGCACGAAAGCGUGGGGAGCAAACAGG